GACGGGGCCCGCACAAGCGGCGGAGCAUGCGGAUUAAUUCGAUGCAACGCGAAGAACCUUACCAAGGCUUGACAUACACCGGUAACGCCCAGAGAUGGGUGCCCCUUUGUGGUCGGUGGACAGGUGGUGCAUGGUUGUCGUCAGCUCGUGUCGUGAGAUGUUGGGUUAAGUCCCGCAACGAGCGCAACCCUCGUCCUAUGUUGCCAGCGGGUCAUGCCGGGGACUCAUGGGAGACUGCCGGGGUCAACUCGGAGGAAGGUGGGAUGACGUCAAAUCAUCAUGCCCCUUAUGUCUUGGGCUUCACGCAUGCUACAAUGGCCGGUACAAAGGGCUGCGAUACCGCGAGGUGGAGCGAAUCCCAGAAAGCCGGUCUCAGUUCGGAUUGGGGUCUGCAACUCGACCCCAUGAAGUCGGAGUCGCUAGUAAUCGCAGAUCAGCAACGCUGCGGUGAAUACGUUCCCGGGCCUU
RNAcentral lists this ribosomal RNA (468 nucleotides) under uncultured Curtobacterium sp. RNAcentral describes it as "bacterial SSU rRNA". It matches the Rfam family "Bacterial small subunit ribosomal RNA", at positions 916 to 1381 of the family's 1533-position model. Lineage: Bacteria; Bacillati; Actinomycetota; Actinomycetes; Micrococcales; Microbacteriaceae. The record is from RNAcentral.